Molecule: ribosomal RNA, 400 nt
Filed under: uncultured bacterium
Lineage: Bacteria
Description: bacterial SSU rRNA
Rfam family: Bacterial small subunit ribosomal RNA
Source: RNAcentral
GGGGAAUAUUGGACAAUGGGCGAAAGCCUGAUCCAGCAAUGCCGCGUGAGUGAUGAAGGCCUUAGGGUUGUAAAGCUCUUUUACCCGGGAUGAUAAUGACAGUACCGGGAGAAUAAGCCCCGGCUACCUCCGUGCCAGCAGCCGCGGUAAUACGUAGGUGGCAAGCGUUGUCCGGAUUUACUGGGCGUAAAGAGCGCGCAGGCGGUUGUGCAAGUCGCGUGUGAAAGCCCCCGGCUCAACUGGGGAGGGUCACGCGAUACUGCUCAACUCGAAGGCAGGAGAGGGAAGUGGAAUUCCCGGUGUAGUGGUGAAAUGCGUAGAUAUCGGGAGGAACACCAGUGGCGAAGGCGACUUCCUGGCCUGUUCUUGACGCUGAGGCGCGAAAGCUAGGGUAGCAAAC